Molecule: unclassified non-coding RNA, 216 nt
Filed under: uncultured fungus
Lineage: Eukaryota; Fungi
Description: sequence contains ITS1, 5.8S rRNA gene
Rfam family: 5.8S ribosomal RNA (bases 168-216)
Source: RNAcentral
UCUCCGUUGGUGAACCAGCGGAGGGAUCAUUACUGAGUGUUACAACUCCCAACCCUUUGUGAACUUACCAUUGUUGCUUCGGCGGCUGCUACGUGGCCGCCGGAGGACCGAAACUCUUGCUUGAUCAGUGGUUUUCUCUCUGAGUGGCAUAAGCAAAAUAAAAUUAAAACUUUCAACAACGGAUCUCUUGGUUCUGGCAUCGAUGAAGAACGCAGC